AUUAUCAUGUUAUUACAAUAUUUAAUAUAACUAUAUUAACACUACCCAGAUAUGCAUAUGGUUAUCAUUGAACCCAUUCCCAUAUUCAUUUGUCAAUGAA
Etheostoma spectabile (orangethroat darter) is the source of this 100-nucleotide long non-coding RNA. RefSeq lists it as uncharacterized. NCBI's taxonomy places the organism in Eukaryota, Metazoa, Chordata, Actinopteri, Perciformes, Percidae. The transcript has 3 exons. The record is from RefSeq and is a predicted model, not a curated record.